GUUUAUAUAGCUUAUUAUUUAUAGAGCAUAUCAGUGAAGUUGAUGAGGAAACUUGAGUGUUUAUAAAUA
This 69-nucleotide transfer RNA is filed under the name Nesophrosyne sp. 246 GMB-2012. Its description in RNAcentral is "tRNA-Phe". Lineage: Eukaryota; Metazoa; Arthropoda; Insecta; Hemiptera; Cicadellidae. The record is from RNAcentral.